AUGGACGAAAGUCUGAUGGAGCAACGCCGCGUGAGUGAAGAAGGGUUUCGGCUCGUAAAACUCUGUUGUUAAAGAAGAACAUAUCUGAGAGUAACUGUUCAGGUAUUGACGGUAUUUAACCAGAAAGCCACGGCUAACUACGUGCCAGCAGCCGCGGUAAUACGUAGGUGGCAAGCGUUGUCCGGAUUUAUUGGGCGUAAAGCGAGCGCAGGCGGUUUUUUAAGUCUGAUGUGAAAGCCUUCGGCUUAACCGAAGAAGUGCAUCGGAAACUGGGAAACUUGAGUGCAGAAGAGGACAGUGGAACUCCAUGUGUAGCGGUGAAAUGCGUAGAUAUAUGGAAGAACACCAGUGGCGAAGGCGGCUGUCUGGUCUGUAACUGACGCUGAGGCUCGAAAGUAUGGGUAGCAAACAGGAUUAGAUACCCUGGUAGUCCAUACCGUAAACGAUGAAUGCUAAGUGUUGGAAGGUUUCCGCCCUCAGUGCUGCAGCUAACGCAUUAAGCAUUCCGCCUGGGGAGUACCG
This 522-nucleotide ribosomal RNA is filed under the name Lactiplantibacillus plantarum. RNAcentral describes it as "bacterial SSU rRNA". It matches the Rfam family "Bacterial small subunit ribosomal RNA", at positions 371 to 885 of the family's 1533-position model. The record is from RNAcentral. Lineage: Bacteria; Bacillati; Bacillota; Bacilli; Lactobacillales; Lactobacillaceae.